UCACACAUUGAUUCAUUUAUGCUUCCACAAUGUCCGAAGAGGUCGUGUUCAAUGAAGUCUAUGCUAAAAAAUGCUCGGUUAAUAUAUCACAUUUAAAUCCCCCAACAAUAUCUUCAUUCAGCUUCUUGCCAAAGAAAAAGCUUCAGACUUCUCUAUUAACAGCAAAAAGAGAUAAUAUCAUCUAUUUUUAUCAAACAAAAACAUUGAACAAGGAAGCAUGAAACAGCAAAAAGAGAU
RNAcentral lists this long non-coding RNA (237 nucleotides) under Ananas comosus (pineapple). RNAcentral's name for it is "long non-coding RNA (ACOM_LNC030510)". The record is from RNAcentral. Lineage: Eukaryota; Viridiplantae; Streptophyta; Magnoliopsida; Poales; Bromeliaceae.